Molecule: ribosomal RNA, 253 nt
Filed under: uncultured bacterium
Lineage: Bacteria
Description: partial 16S ribosomal RNA
Rfam family: Bacterial small subunit ribosomal RNA
Source: RNAcentral
UACGUAGGGGGCUAGCGUUGUCCGGAAUCAUUGGGCGUAAAGAGCGUGUAGGCGGCCCGGUAAGUCCGCUGUAAAAGUCAAAGGCUCAACCUUUGAAUGUCAGUGGAUACUGCCGGGCUAGAGUCCGGAAGAGGCGAGUGGAAUUCCCGGUGUAGCGGUGAAAUGCGCAGAUAUCGGGAGGAACACCUAUGGCGAAGGCAGCUCGCUGGGACGUUACUGACGCUGAGACGCGAAAGCGUGGGGAGCAAACAGG